UGAAAUCUUAACGGUUUACAUGGCUUCUGAGGAUCUGUCAGAGGUGCUCCCACACAACUGGGGAUGAGGAGUGGCUGGGGACAGUGCUGUGUCAGGGUGGAACUGUGCUCCGGUGUGACGAGAUACAUGUGGAAGAGAGCUCAGAAGUGUGGCAACCAGCCUUGGAUGACCAAGAACAUCCCAGAGGGAGCCAUGAAGACUAGUAUAAGCAGAAAGUGAAUGGAAAUGCUAUGGUGCUGAAGUACCAGAAGUAGCAACAGAAAAAUGGUAUAUGCUGAUGGCACGUGUCUUCAGGAUAUCAUGGCGUCUUUAUACAGCUAUUCAGGACACCCAGAUCAGAAGACAAGAGACAGCAUGUCAUUUCCAACCUAAGAAGAGCCCAGGAGAUGUGAUGAGAACUCAUUUUCUGUAUCACCCAAGAUGGGAAGACCGACCACCUAGAUGA
RNAcentral lists this long non-coding RNA (445 nucleotides) under Numida meleagris (helmeted guineafowl). RNAcentral describes it as "lncRNA (ENSNMEG00000010795.1)". Lineage: Eukaryota; Metazoa; Chordata; Aves; Galliformes; Numididae. The record is from RNAcentral.